RNAcentral lists this unclassified non-coding RNA (351 nucleotides) under Hevea brasiliensis (rubber tree). The record is from RNAcentral. Lineage: Eukaryota; Viridiplantae; Streptophyta; Magnoliopsida; Malpighiales; Euphorbiaceae.
CUGCAUCAUUAUUUUGUUACUAGCACCAGAUACAUCAUUGCUGAUAAGAAUGGGGUAAUCAAACUGGUAUUUCGUUUCUGGUGAGGAUAAUACACACUUUCAGACAUGAAGGAUAUAUUAUUACUGGAAAUUAUGGUGUAGUUUGAAAACAGUAAGAGGGCGACUAUAAUUUUUCAUUGUAGGAAGUAGCUGAAAAUUUGACUCGGUGCUUUUCUUUCGAGGGUCCUUUUGAUCCUUGGAGUCCUUUAUUCUUCAUCAACAUGACAGAUUUUCAGCUUUUGUAAAGAUGAAAUGUUCUACUUACCAAUUUAUUGAUGGUUUCAACCAGGUUCCAGGGUAUGAGCAGGGCAA